Long non-coding RNA from Oncorhynchus masou masou (cherry salmon), 382 nucleotides. RefSeq lists it as uncharacterized. The record is from RefSeq and is a predicted model, not a curated record. The transcript has 3 exons. Lineage: Eukaryota; Metazoa; Chordata; Actinopteri; Salmoniformes; Salmonidae.
GGGCGAGUGCGGGUGAGGGUGCAAUAUUUACAUUUACACAGGAUCGAGUUUCAGAGAUUUUUGCAGUUCGUUCCAGUCAUUGGCAGCAGAGAACUGGAAGGAGAGGCGGCCAAAGGAAGAAUUGGUUUUGGGGGUUGACCAGAGAGAUAUACCUACUGGAGCGCGUGCUACAGAUCACAUUUCGAGAAGGAAGAGUGAAGAAGAGAAGGAUGAGGAGGAAGAGGAGGGGAAAGAAGAGGGUGAAAGAACUAGAUUGAAACGUUUCUCUGUUUUUAAAUAAAUAGAGAACUCUCACUCUCCUCCUCCUGUUCUGAUUGGAAGUGUGUUCGACCUUCAUCUCUCUCUGAGCCAGAGACAACCCUCACAGCAGGAGACGCCUUCU